Molecule: ribosomal RNA, 301 nt
Filed under: uncultured bacterium
Lineage: Bacteria
Description: partial 16S ribosomal RNA
Rfam family: Bacterial small subunit ribosomal RNA
Source: RNAcentral
CAGUAGCCGCGGUAAUACGAGGGGGGCGAGCGUUGUUCGGAAUUAUUGGGCGUAAAGGGUGCGUAGGCGGUUCGGUAAGUCUUAUGUGAAAUCUUCGGGCUCAACUCGAAGUCUGCAUGAGAAACUGCCGGGCUUGAGUGUGGGAGAGGUGAGUGGAAUUUCCGGUGUAGCGGUGAAAUGCGUAGAUAUCGGAAGGAACACCUGUGGCGAAGGCGGCUCACUGGACCACGACUGACGCUGAUGCACGAAAGCUAGGGGAGCAAACAAGGUUAGAGACCCCAGUAGUCCCUGUUUCUUAUAA